RNAcentral lists this ribosomal RNA (1457 nucleotides) under uncultured organism. RNAcentral's name for it is "SSU rRNA". It matches the Rfam family "Bacterial small subunit ribosomal RNA". The record is from RNAcentral.
UCAUGACGAACGCUGGCGGCGUGCCUAAUACAUGCAAGUAGAACGCUGAAGAGAGGAGCUUGCUCUUCUUGGAUGAGUUGCGAACGGGUGAGUAACGCGUAGGUAACCUGCCUUGUAGCGGGGGAUAACUAUUGGAAACGAUAGCUAAUACCGCAUAACAAUAGGUGACACAUGUCAUUUAUUUGAAAGGGGCAAUUGCUCCACUACAAGAUGGACCUGCGUUGUAUUAGCUAGUAGGUGAGGUAACGGCUCACCUAGGCGACGAUACAUAGCCGACCUGAGAGGGUGAUCGGCCACACUGGGACUGAGACACGGCCCAGACUCCUACGGGAGGCAGCAGUAGGGAAUCUUCGGCAAUGGGGGCAACCCUGACCGAGCAACGCCGCGUGAGUGAAGAAGGUUUUCGGAUCGUAAAGCUCUGUUGUAAGUCAAGAACGAGUGUGAGAGUGGAAAGUUCACACUGUGACGGUAGCUUACCAGAAAGGGACGGCUAACUACGUGCCAGCAGCCGCGGUAAUACGUAGGUCCCGAGCGUUGUCCGGAUUUAUUGGGCGUAAAGCGAGCGCAGGCGGUUUGAUAAGUCUGAAGUUAAAGGCUGUGGCUCAACCAUAGUUCGCUUUGGAAACUGUCAAACUUGAGUGCAGAAGGGGAGAGUGGAAUUCCAUGUGUAGCGGUGAAAUGCGUAGAUAUAUGGAGGAACACCGGUGGCGAAAGCGGCUCUCUGGUCUGUAACUGACGCUGAGGCUCGAAAGCGUGGGGAGCGAACAGGAUUAGAUACCCUGGUAGUCCACGCCGUAAACGAUGAGUGCUAGGUGUUGGAUCCUUUCCGGGAUUCAGUGCCGCAGCUAACGCAUUAAGCACUCCGCCUGGGGAGUACGACCGCAAGGUUGAAACUCAAAGGAAUUGACGGGGGCCCGCACAAGCGGUGGAGCAUGUGGUUUAAUUCGAAGCAACGCGAAGAACCUUACCAGGUCUUGACAUCCCGAUGCUAUUUCUAGAGAUAGAAAGUUACUUCGGUACAUCGGUGACAGGUGGUGCAUGGUUGUCGUCAGCUCGUGUCGUGAGAUGUUGGGUUAAGUCCCGCAACGAGCGCAACCCCUAUUGUUAGUUGCCAUCAUUCAGUUGGGCACUCUAGCGAGACUGCCGGUAAUAAACCGGAGGAAGGUGGGGAUGACGUCAAAUCAUCAUGCCCCUUAUGACCUGGGCUACACACGUGCUACAAUGGUUGGUACAACGAGUUGCGAGUCGGUGACGGCAAGCUAAUCUCUUAAAGCCAAUCUCAGUUCGGAUUGUAGGCUGCAACUCGCCUACAUGAAGUCGGAAUCGCUAGUAAUCGCGGAUCAGCACGCCGCGGUGAAUACGUUCCCGGGCCUUGUACACACCGCCCGUCACACCACGAGAGUUUGUAACACCCGAAGUCGGUGAGGUAACCUUUUGGAGCCAGCCGCCUAAGGUGG